UACAGAGGGUGCAAGCGUUGUUCGGAAUUACUGGGCGUAAAGCGCGUGUAGGUGGCGAUGUAAGUCGGGUGUGAAAUCCCUUGGCUCAACCAAGGAAGUGCACUCGAUACUGUGUCGCUUGAGUACUGGAGGGGAUGGCGGAAUUCCCGGUGUAGAGGUGAAAUUCGUAGAUAUCGGGAGGAACACCUGUGGCGAAGGCGGCCAUCUGGACAGUCACUGACACUGAGACGCGAAAGCGUGGGUAGCAAACAGG
Molecule: ribosomal RNA, 253 nt
Filed under: uncultured bacterium
Lineage: Bacteria
Description: partial 16S ribosomal RNA
Rfam family: Bacterial small subunit ribosomal RNA
Source: RNAcentral